GAGUUUGAUCAUGGCUCAGGACGAACGCUGGCGGCGUGCCUAACACAUGCAAGUCGAGCGAGGAGAUUCCCUUCGGGGAUGAACCUAGCGGCGGACGGGUGAGUAACACGUGGGCAACCUGCCUUAUAGAGGGGAAUAGCCUUCCGAAAGGAAGAUUAAUACCGCAUAACAUUACAUUUUCGCAUGAAGAAGUAAUUAAAGGAGUAAUCCGCUAUAAGAUGGGCCCGCGGCGCAUUAGCUAGUUGGUGAGGUAACGGCUCACCAAGGCGACGAUGCGUAGCCGACCUGAGAGGGUGAUCGGCCACAUUGGGACUGAGACACGGCCCAGACUCCUACGGGAGGCAGCAGUGGGGAAUAUUGCACAAUGGGGGAAACCCUGAUGCAGCAACGCCGCGUGAGUGAUGAAGGUCUUCGGAUCGUAAAGCUCUGUCUUCAGGGACGAUAAUGACGGUACCUGAGGAGGAAGCCACGGCUAACUACGUGCCAGCAGCCGCGGUAAUAC
This 502-nucleotide ribosomal RNA is filed under the name uncultured bacterium. Its description in RNAcentral is "bacterial SSU rRNA". It matches the Rfam family "Bacterial small subunit ribosomal RNA", at positions 9 to 526 of the family's 1533-position model. The record is from RNAcentral.